RNAcentral lists this small RNA (461 nucleotides) under Colletotrichum truncatum. RNAcentral describes it as "eukaryotic LSU rRNA". The stretch from base 87 to 240 matches the Rfam family "5.8S ribosomal RNA". The record is from RNAcentral. Lineage: Eukaryota; Fungi; Ascomycota; Sordariomycetes; Glomerellales; Glomerellaceae.
CCCGUCCGCGGGUGGGGCGCCCGCCGGAGGAUAACCAAACUCUGAUUUAACGACGUUUCUUCUGAGUGACACAAGCAAAUAAUCAAAACUUUUAACAACGGAUCUCUUGGUUCUGGCAUCGAUGAAGAACGCAGCGAAAUGCGAUAAGUAAUGUGAAUUGCAGAAUUCAGUGAAUCAUCGAAUCUUUGAACGCACAUUGCGCCCGCCAGCAUUCUGGCGGGCAUGCCUGUUCGAGCGUCAUUUCAACCCUCAAGCUCUGCUUGGUGUUGGGGCUCUACGGUUGACGUAGGCCCUUAAAGGUAGUGGCGGACCCUCUCGGAGCCUCCUUUGCGUAGUAACAUUUCGUCUCGCAUUGGGAUUCGGAGGGACUCUAGCCGUAAAACCCCCAAUUUUACUAAGGUUGACCUCGGAUCAGGUAGGAAUACCCGCUGAACUUAAGCAUAUCAAUAAGCGGAGGAAGA